CAGCAGCCGCGGUAAUACGUAGGUGGCAAGCGUUAAUCGGAAUUACUGGGCGUAAAGCGUGCGCAGGCGGUUAUAUAAGUCAGAUGUGAAAUCCCCGGGCUCAACCUGGGAACUGCAUUUGAGACUGUAUGGCUAGAGUGUGUCAGAGGGGGGUAGAAUUCCACGUGUAGCAGUGAAAUGCGUAGAUAUGUGGAGGAAUAUCGAUGGCGAAGGCAGCCCCCUGGGAUAACACUGACGCUCAUGCACGAAAGCGUGGGGAGCAAACAGGAUUAGAUACCCCAGUAGUCCCUGUCUCUUAUAA
Molecule: ribosomal RNA, 301 nt
Filed under: uncultured bacterium
Lineage: Bacteria
Description: partial 16S ribosomal RNA
Rfam family: Bacterial small subunit ribosomal RNA
Source: RNAcentral